UACAGAGGGUGCGAGCGUUGUCCGGAAUCACUGGGCGUAAAGCGUCCGCAGGUGGCUAUGUAAGUCUGCUGUUAAAGAGUGAGGCUCAACCUCAUAAGAGCAGUGGAAACUACAUGGCUAGAGUGCGUUCGGGGCAGAGGGAAUUCCUGGUGUAGCGGUGAAAUGCGUAGAGAUCAGGAAGAACACCGGUGGCGAAAGCGCUCUGCUAGGCCGCAACUGACACUCAUGGACGAAAGCUAGGGGAGCGAAUGGG
Molecule: ribosomal RNA, 253 nt
Filed under: uncultured bacterium
Lineage: Bacteria
Description: partial 16S ribosomal RNA
Rfam family: Bacterial small subunit ribosomal RNA
Source: RNAcentral